GAUGAAGAACGCAGCGAAAUGCGAUAAGUAGUGUGAAUUGCAGAAUUCCGUGAAUCAUCGAAUCUUUGAACGCACAUUGCGCCUUCUGGUAUUCCGGAAGGCAUGCCUGUUCGAGAGUCAUUAACAACCGUUUCGAUCCCUUUCUUUCAGAAAUUACAAAGAGGAAAAGGGUUUGGUUAUGGUGGAGGAGGGAAAGGGAGCGUUUAGCCUGUAAAAAAAGAGGCUGUGUUCCGCCUCCCCCCCAAAAUUGUACAGGCGGUCGUGUGCGCCCACGCAUCGAGGUGUUGUAAAAGCUGCCACGGCACUUUUCACCUGUGCAGUGCGAGAUUGGCCAGCCGGUUUAAAAACCCCUCCAAACAAUCAAAGGUUGACCUCGGAUCAGGUAGGGAUACCCGCUGAACUUAAGCAUAUCAAUAAGCGGAGCA
This 425-nucleotide unclassified non-coding RNA is filed under the name soil metagenome. RNAcentral's name for it is "partial contains 5.8S ribosomal RNA, internal transcribed spacer 2, and large subunit ribosomal RNA". The stretch from base 1 to 120 matches the Rfam family "5.8S ribosomal RNA", at positions 35 to 154 of the family's 154-position model. The record is from RNAcentral.